GUGUUUGCCUUAAAUCUAAAUGGGAGAGGGGGGCAAAGCCGGGGCUGGUGGGGAGAACGAGACUGCAGGAGGGGAUGGGGACAGGUGGGUUUUGGGGCACACUGUGGUGUUUUGGGUGCUCUCCGCAGCUCCUGGUGUUACUGAGGAAGUGGCUUUGGCCAGAAGCUGUUGGGGUUGCAGCUUGCAGGCUGUGUUUGCAGCUGGGAAUGCCAGGGCUCGCAGCGUCUGCGUGUGCGUGCAGUGAGCCCCCACGUGCCAGCCAGCUUCGUUAACCAAAGGAGGAUUUUAUUGCAGGCUUAACGUUGGCUUUGCUAGGGAAAUUCAGGUCUGGAAAGCAGCGUUCAGGUGUGCUCCGUGUUUUUAGGGAAGGAAAAGGAAAGUGAAACCUCCCGAGGUUUGUACCCACGGGGGGACAUCUGGGUAGGUGCUCUGACACAGGCGUGUGAGCUGCUUGUCUUGCAGGGCUCAGGCUGUAAGAAGCACGCUGAAAUCGCAGAGAUUUGGUGGCCAGAACGGAUUUGUGGAUCUUCGUUAAGGGUUGGGUUGGAGGAGAUCGUAGCCCUGUCUCACUUUGUUUGCUGAGCAGCUCAGGGCUUUUAUGGGGCCGAAUGCAAGUGAGCACCUGGAGGAAGAGCACAGAGCGAUGAGCGGUGCCAGCUCUGCCCUGUGCAAAACGUGUCGUGCUGUCAGGUUGGCUGCGAUGCACACAGUUGUUCUACGUUUCCUAUUCAGUUCUCCCAGCUUCUUCACUCUCUUCCAAAAAAAAAAGCUUCAAUUCCAGCUGGAAUUGGAGUUAAGCUGAGCGAAUCCAAUUGCUUGUCUUGCUUUAGUUGGUGCUGUAGGGCCUGAGCAAUGCCCUGCAACGAUUUCCCUCCAAAGCAGGGAAAGAAGUCGUGUUUUACACGUCUUUGUGUUCACAGAGGGGUUUCUGGAGGAAAAGGAAGCUGGUGAGAAAGCAGAGAGAGAAAGCAUCCUGUGGUGCUGGAGUCACUUAGGUUGUUAUCUGCAGGGAGGAGGAGGUUUGUGUGCUGAUUAGUUACCAGGUAAUUCGAGCUGGUUAAGGUAAUAGGGGCUGAAGGUAAGCAGAAGAAAAAAAAAAGGGAUAAAAAGCAAGUGGUCCUUUGCUGGUUCGUGUACACUGUGUACACACAGACAUGAAAUGUCCGUAGGGAGAGUCUCAGUGGGAUCUCGAAGCCUGAGAAAAGCAUUAAGGAAAGUCAGAAAGGCUUCCAGUGUGUUCUGCUGUUGUGACAAAGCUGUUUCAGGAGCUUCCUUCCCGCUUACAUUCUUGGCUGCUUUUUCCUGCCUUCUCUGCUUCCCUCCUGGUGUUUCAGGAGGUGGGAUUCUCUCCCCAUGUUGUUGCAGUGAGAUUUCAGCUUUACGUUCCUGCUCCUUGUUCUUGUGUAGCAUUCUGUCUCAAGGCAGGGGCCGGGAAGGAACGGGAGCAGCCACGCAUGUAUGGAGAGGACCUCUGAAACCUGUGCUCCUGCCAGGCAAACACCGAAGUCCAGCUGUGCCCUCGGCUCCGUGCUCACCAUCACAGCACUUCCACUCAUGGCACAGCACAGCGGGCACCUGCGUGGUUGCAGAGGAGCGAACUUCCCAAAAAGGAAGGCCUGUCCUUCGUUAAUUUCCUCCAUUUGAAAAUUGAGGUUGUGUCGGAGGCAGUGCAGUGUCGUGGUUGGGCACUUAGGAAAGGAAGAGGAUGAGCUGCUGAAAGUUCCUGCAGCGUGGGCACAGCAGAGCUCGGUGCAGGCAUCGCUUGGUGCCCUUCGUGCUGCGCGGGGCAGUGCGGGUGGGAUGGCAGCUUCUCCCCCAUCUGUGGGGCACAGCACAGCUCAAGCGUCCAAGGUGUGGGGAGAGCAGAGAGCAGCGCCUGCUGCCCUCCGUGGGCUCACUGCCUUCCAAACACACGUUUGGUUUCGGGCCCUUUUCUGUCGUUGCUCGGGUCUGAGCUCGGAGGUGUGAGCUGCAGGAUACAGGGGGGAGAAGACGUUUCGGGCUGCUGUGAUUGGCAGCUUUGCAGAAGCUCCUAAUUGCUGUAGUUCCCACGAAGGGGAGGCUUUGCCUGCCAACCUUUUCCAUGGCUCUGCUUGGACGCACUCCUCUGGUUCUGACCAUCUUCCUGGUUCCCCCCAUUGCCUCUUGUUUGCUUGUUUUCUCCUUCUGUGUGCUUGCGGGCUGCGGUCCACCCUACUGAAGGCUUUCCUGAUGUGCUCUUGGUUGGUUGGGGGUGUUCUUUUCUGGGAUGUCUCUGCAUGCUUCCCUUCUUCCUUGCUGUCUUCUCCUCUGCUUUAAUCUUUCCAUUUAAGUUCAAUUACCUCUCACUAGGAAACCAGCAGCAGGCAAUUGAAGAUGCUGAGCAGCCACCUUUCCAGUCUUUCUGGUUGUCUUUUGUAAUAACAGCAACCCCCACCCCCUCCACGCACAGCACCGAGGAACAUCGGCUCCCUGAUCUUCACAGAGCAAAUCUCAGCACCUGCAGGGUGGUUCCUGAGUUCAUGCUGGCCAUCUCAGUGCUCUGCUGUUCCAUUCUGAGCCGCUCCAGGAGACGUUAUGGGCUGUUCCCAAGCUGCUCAGUUGUUUCUGGCCAAACGGAGAGCUUGUGCUUGGAGAAUGCAGAGCGGAGCAGGUAGCAAAGAGGAUGCAGAGGAGAUGAAAGCUGAAAUGUGCUUUUUCAGAUGCUCAGAACCUUGAGGAUAUAAAUGAAAGUGGCAGGAGGUGGUUUGAGCUGAGCCGCGCUGCGCACAGAGGUGGUGAUGCUCUCACAGCUCAUCUCACCCGCAUUUUGCAGGUAAACGAAGGCAGGUUGGCUUGUUCCCAGCCCAGGGUGAGAGCAGCACGUGCAGAAAGCGUGGUGAAAAAGUGGAACAGAGCCUGGCCAGGUGGUGGGAUUCAUACACAGAGUGCUGCACGUUGUUGAGUCCUGCCUCGUGCUUCUUCUGUUCCUUUGUCUUAAAUGGGGGACGGCACACUGAGGGGGGCCCAGGGUUCUGCUGAGUGCUGAGGGGUGAGCUGGGUCCCUUCAGGUGCUGCUGGAGGGCUGGAAAAUGUGAUGUUGGUUUUGUCUUAGAUGCCCUUUUUCGCACCGUGCUGCUCUGUCUGCUUUCCUCCAAGCAGAAAUAAAUCGUAAAGCACGUGCCCGUGGGGAGGGUUUGCAAAUGAAAGCCAGUUGGCACUCGGAUACUCCAUAGACUCCUCUCAUUUGAGAGCUCCUUGCCUAAAAUAUUUCCCUGUUGAUCCUCAGCUAUUUUGGCAGAAGAGCCGGGCAGGGAAAACCCAUUUUUAACCUCUGACGCUGCACUCGCUUGGCUGGGACCCCAGGAAGAAACAUUUCACCCUUUCUGGGAACCAACCAGAGAAGGCAAAGCUUUCCUAGCACAGAAAGGACAGAAGGAACCGCGGUGGAGAAGCACGGGCUCCUUUUGGGGUGGGAACUGCUGGGACUGAGUGCAGUUUGCAGAUGCAAAGCGACUGACACCAUCGGCUUCGUGUUUUCCAGGACCAUUCGGGCACCCUUUCGUGUCUGCUUCGUUUUGUUUUCUUUCGCUUUGCUUGUUUUUGGUUUUUUUUUCUCAUCGUUUGCCGUCAGCUGCUGCCUUCCAGCGCCUGUUUCGAGCCCCAGGAAGAGGAAAGCUGGCUGCAGAGCA
Meleagris gallopavo (turkey) is the source of this 3650-nucleotide non-coding RNA. NCBI's taxonomy places the organism in Eukaryota, Metazoa, Chordata, Aves, Galliformes, Phasianidae. The record is from RefSeq and is a predicted model, not a curated record.